ACGAACGCUGGCGGCAUGCCUAACACAUGCAAGUCGAACGAUGCUUUCGGGCAUAGUGGCGCACGGGUGCGUAACGCGUGGGAAUCUGCCCUUGGGUUCGGAAUAACAGUGAGAAAUUGCUGCUAAUACCGGAUGAUGUCUUCGGACCAAAGAUUUAUCGCCCAGGGAUGAGCCCGCGUAGGAUUAGCUAGUUGGUGGGGUAAUGGCCUACCAAGGCGACGAUCCUUAGCUGGUCUGAGAGGAUGAUCAGCCACACUGGGACUGAGACACGGCCCAGACUCCUACGGGAGGCAGCAGUGGGGAAUAUUGGACAAUGGGCGCAAGCCUAAUCCAGCAAUGCCGCGUGAGUGAUGAAGGCCUUAGGGUUGUAAAGCUCUUUUACCCGGGAUGAUAAUGACAGUACCGGGAGAAUAAGCUCCGGCUAACUCCGUG
Molecule: ribosomal RNA, 432 nt
Filed under: uncultured bacterium
Lineage: Bacteria
Description: partial 16S ribosomal RNA
Rfam family: Bacterial small subunit ribosomal RNA
Source: RNAcentral